CUUGAGCACAAUAAACCCAUUGGCUGGUGUCCCUGAGCGAUCAGACGGGCUGUGAGCUGCGCUAGGUGUGGGCGCUGUCUGUUGGGAGAGGCGCUAGGCUUUGAGUUCAGAUUCAUCCUCGCGCAGUCCCCGUGCCCCCCCUGGGUUGGGACAGCACCUGGCGCUCGGGACAACAGGCAGCCACCGAGCGAGCAGGGCACCAUGUCUCCUCUCCGCGCUGUUCUGUUCUCCCUGCUCUUCAUCGCCUCCUCGCUGGCCCAGGACGUGCAGGGCACCACAGACGGCUCCAGGAUGCUGCAGCCCUGGCUGGUGGGGCUGACGGCCGUCGUGGUCUUCCUCUUCAUCGUCGUCGUGCUGAUGAUCAUCAACAGAGUCUGGUGCUACAAGAAGCGCAGGAAUGAGGAGGAGCCGCUGGGAGAACCUGCCCAAUCCAGCAGGACGGUCUCCAACUUCUACAACAACCUAGCGCUGGAGGAGGACAGCGAGGAGGAGCAGAAGGGGAAGAAGGAGAAUAAAACGACCUCCCUGUGAGGAGCCUGCGAGCCCGGCGGGGUGGGAGACCACGGAACUGCUGCCGCCACCAUCACGGUGCCCCCCCUGCGCUGCCCGGCACAGAAAUCAACUCGCUGCUUCCCCGCGUCUCUGCCCAGCUCCGCCCGGCCCCUCCCUGGCCCAGCACAGAAGAGCAGCUGGCCUGACCCACCCAGCAACCUUCCCUGGGCCAGGCAGGCCUCUCCUGCGUGCUGCUAUGCAGGGCCCAGGGGUGCAGCGGGCACGGAUGCCCCCUCACUACCCUGUGCAGGACAGGCCCCCUCUCCCCUUCCCUGGUCGUUUGGCCUUGGUGGGGCAGGCAGCCAGAGCCAGUCCCUGGAGGGGAUUCUCCCCAAAGCCCCCCGCCAGCACCGCAGCGCCCCCUGCAGGGGGGUCCGGGUUGGGCCUUGCGCGGGCUGAGCAUGCGGUGCAGGAGCCCGUGGACUGCAGUGGGGAGGGAGCAGAAUAAUCUCCCUGCGUCUCUGAGCCCGGCUAGGCCACGGGCACCGGUGCCAUGCGCUGCCCCCUGCGCUGCCCAGCUGGGCUGAAAAGUUUAUAGCGCUGAUUGGUGCCACCUGCUGGCAAGACUGUGCCAUGACAGCUAGGAGGGAAAGCGGAGAAAC
This 1154-nucleotide long non-coding RNA is filed under the name Chrysemys picta bellii (western painted turtle). Its description in RNAcentral is "lncRNA (ENSCPBG00000017127.1)". The record is from RNAcentral. Lineage: Eukaryota; Metazoa; Chordata; Testudines; Emydidae.